Chelonia mydas (Green sea turtle) is the source of this 7052-nucleotide long non-coding RNA. RefSeq lists it as uncharacterized. The record is from RefSeq and is a predicted model, not a curated record. NCBI's taxonomy places the organism in Eukaryota, Metazoa, Chordata, Testudines, Cheloniidae. The transcript is spliced from 4 exons.
AUUACCUCCCACCCUCUGUCCCAGUUUUUAACACUUGUUAUCUGGUCACCCUAAGCAAGGCCAACUGGGUUGCGCAUGGGAGAAAAUUCCAUGCCUGCCUGAGGCUUGCGCUUUGGGGGAGCAAUGCCCGCUUAUACCCCUCCAAACUACGCCCAUGUGUACAAACUACACCAUCAUGCGGCAUUGUGGUAUUAUUUAUAACCUAUACAUGCCCUUAAAGGAAAACAUUUGACAAUGUCUGUGCUGUUACUUUUGCAGACUGAGUAUUUUAACCUUAUGGCUCUAAAACACCUGCAAGGAUUUUAAACUAGAUUUCAGGAGAGCAGUUCUCCUUUUCCACCACCAGGUGUCUCUCAAAUUGUUCUCCUCCUCCAGGCUGCCAGCUGUACAGGAGGAGGUGCCCUACACUCUGGUCUAGACUGGGGUCUAGAGCUGGCCUGGUGGGAUUUGAGUUUGUUUACCAGCUGUAGUUGGUUUAGUCUCUUGAGAGGCCUCGGAGACAUGUAGGAGGUCAACAGCUGUCUUGCAGAGCGUGGAUAGUACACAGCACACUGGUGAUUAGUCACUGUGGUUACCUGCCGGACACGGUUUCAUUUUAAUGAGCAAAUGUCACGGGGAAGGGGGGGGGGAGGUGGAAGCUGGAGAUUUUAGGUAAGCUCCCCGUGCGCCACUCGUGGCAUUACAGUCAUUUCCACAGCAACAAGCUGCAAUGCCGCACACAGGAUAGUUCGGUAUUCAGUAAAAUAUACAGGGGAAAUCGUCCUGCAUCAGUACAAUGGGGAUCCUGUAAAAAAUGCAUAUGCACCCAUUAAACUUUGAGAACUCUAGGUUUGCUCUCCUCUAGGUUUUUAUGUGGCACCUGUCAUGGCAGUGUCUGAGCAGGCAGGCGGUUGUGGGCACAAGCCAUCUCGCUGUGCAGCGCAUGCCAACGCAUGCACUCGCUCGGUGCACUGAAAUGUGGGGCUCUGCAGGUGCAUGCCUCACACCGACAUCUGCAAAUGCUGCCUACAAGGUGCCCCAAAGGGUCUGGCACUAGAAUGUUUUUCAGUUUCCAUGCUUAGUGUCUCCUUAAAGGGAAUGCCGUCAGCUUAAUAACACUUCUCACUUCUGUCUGCACAGCUUUACGUACCCUUAGUCCGAGGCAAGACUUCUGGCUCCCAGAAAUGAUCAUGGUUCGAAGGACCCUGGUUUCCCAGUACUUGGUGCAUUCAACAGCACUUGGGGGCAGAUGGGAGAGGUUGGGUGCUCAGCACUUUUGAAAAUCUGUCCCUAUGAUUUAGGCACUUAUAAGCGAUGCUGAGUGCUGUUGAGAAAUACUGGCCAUAUUCGUGUAUAGUCAGCUUCACGCUUUUCCCCAGUUACUUGUGCAGGUCUGUCACUCAGUGCCAGGAGAGAGGAAUGCAGUGUAAAGAACAGGGAGAUGUAUAGGCAGGUGUAGCAUCUGGACAUACUGCUAGCUUGCGUUUUGAAAGGGAUACAACUUCAUGUUGGACCUUUUAUCACACCGAACCCCAGCAGCUUGUGCAACAACAUCCUGUUUUGAAAGGAAAAAAUUCGGAGCUGUGGCUUUGUAUUUGAAGAGAAGCUUUAGGCAGUGUCUACACUGCCACUUUCAGCGCUAAAAUUUGUCAUUCUGGGGUGUGAAAAAACACCCCCACGAACGACCAAAGUUUAGCGCUCAAAACACCAAUAUAGAUACUGCCUCGUUCAGGGUGGUUAUUUUUUAUCACUGGGAAAGCUCUCACCCAGUGACAAAGUGUGACUACACUGCCCACGUCACAGCGCUGCUGCGGCUACACUGUAACGUGGGCAGGAUAGACCUAGCCUUAGCUGUAACCUUACCUUCCUGGGACAUAUGUGUGUGUGUCUUAGGGCUUGUCUGCACUGGCAAGUUUAUGCCCAACAAGUUAUACCACGUUUAUUAAAGUGCUGGAAUUAAACCGCUGUUGCAUGUCCACACUGUGGGGUAGGAGGCAGAAUGUGUGACAGGGAGAGAGAGAGAGAGAGUGUGUGUAUGUGGAGGGGGAGAGGAGAACGUGUGUUUUGGGGACAGUGUGUCAGCACGAGCAUUCCACAUUAACCGUUUGCUUUGUGUCCCAGAGCAGAUCAGCACAGCACACAAGGGCUGUCAGAAAUGAAACUUUGAAAGGGGAGGGGCACAUGUCUCCAGGGCAGUCGAGUUCAAAACAAUGAGCAGAGGGGCCACUUGAGGGAUUAUGGGACACUUCCGGAGGCCAAUUGAUUGCUUUCUGCACUAUCAUGUGUUUACACUGUCAAUACAGUGCUGGAGCCUCUGCGCUUGAAGGGAAGCCCAUCCAAAUUUCUUUCCUGAGGAGUGACUUCUUGGAAAGAUGACGAUGCUCAUCAGAGGAUCUGUGCAGCCUUCUGUGUGGCAGCUAGAGCCACGUGCAGGUUCCCCUGUUUAUGCACCCAAGGAUCGCAUGAUCUCUUCUGACCGCAGUGUUGUACUAAGAGCUCAUAUUCAGCCGAUUAUCCACCAUGACCCCCAAAUCUCUCUCCGAGUCACUGCUUUCCAGGGGAGAGGCCCCCAUUGUACACGCUGGCGAAGAGAGGUAAUGGAGAACAGGACCACACCCGGCUUGUUAGGCAAUCUGCAGCCCACACGCUUGGGAGGAGCUCCCCAUAAACAUCCAUAAAGCUACCUCACUAUCCAUCUUCAAAUCCCGUCUCAAAACCCUCCUCCGCCAUGGCGCCAACAAAAAUCUUGACAGUGGUUAGGCUGCUGGUGUGGUGAGACCACAGCCCAUCAUGCUGACCAGUAUUGUCUCAGUGUUUCCUUUUGCGCCUCCAUUUGUCCGUCUGUCUGGAUCUGUUGUUUCAUCUUCUGCCUAGAUUAGGGGUGGGCAAUCUUUGGCCUGUGGGCUGGAUCCAGCCCGCCAGCUGUUUUAAUCCGGCCCACAAGCUCCCACUGGGGAGUGGGGUCUGGGGCUUGCCCCGCUCCAGCUGGAGAGCAGGGUCUGGGGCCUCUCCAUGUGGCUCCCAGAAGCAGCAAAAUGGCCCGCUUCCGGCUCCUACCCAUAGAGGCAGCCAGGGAACUCCACUCUACACACUGCCCACGCCCCAAAUGCCACCCCCAAAGCUCUCAUUGGCCGAGAAUUGCGGCCAAUGGGAGCUGCAGGGGGGUGCCUGCGGACAGGGCAGCAUGCAGAAACGCCUGGCCGUGCCUCCUCAUAGGAGCCGGAGAAGGGAUAUGCCGUUGCUUCCUGGAGCCGCUUGAGGUAAGCACCACCCAGAGCCUGUACCUCUGAACCUCCCAUCGCGCCCCAACCCCCUGCUCCAGCCCUGAUCCCCCUCCCACCCUCCAAACCCUUUGAUCCCAGACCGGAGCACCCUCUUGCACCCCAAACCUCUCAUCCCCAGCCCCACCCCAGAGCCGGCACCCCCAGCCAGAGCCCUCACCUCCCCCACCCCAAACCCCUGCCCCAGCCCUGAUCCCCCUUCUGCCCUCCAAACCCCUCGGUCCCAGCCAGGAGCACCCUCCUACACCCCAAACUCCUCAUCCCCAGCUGGAGCCCUCACCCGCCCUUGCACCCCUGCCCAGAGUCCCCUCCUGCACCCUGAACUCCUCAUUUGUGGCCCUACCCCGGAGCCCGCACCCCCCAACCAGAGCCCUCACCCACUCCCGCACCCCAGCCCCAAUUUUGUGAGCAUUCAUGGCCCGCCCUACAAUUUCUAUGCCCAGAUGUGGCCCUUGGGGCAAAAAGUCUGCCCACCGCUGGCCUAGACUGUAGGCUCUUUAGGGCAGGGACCAUCUUUUGGUUCUGUGCGUGUGCAGUGCCUAGCACAAAUGUGCCCUGGUCCAUGACUGAAACUCCUAGGUGAUACCACAACACAGAUAAUAAAUAAUAAUCAGUGAUGUGGUCUACGGGCCAGAGCGGGUCACAAGGCCAAGGAGAAUCAGCCCCUCUGUGUUUCAGGAAAGAUGAACUUCAUCCACUGCAUAAUUCCCCCCAUUCAAAUGUGUCUGCUCCUACCAGAGAUAAUCUUCAUGGGGGGAUAUACAGGGAUAGCACAGAGAGGGUCUGCAGCCAGCUAGCUGAAACAGGGGGCAAAAUAAGGAGGUGAAGCAGGAUUAAAGAUUUGUCCAGUUGUGGGGUGGAGUCCGGGGAAAAACCCCCUCAGAGUAGUUGACCCUAACAAGGGUGCCUUGUGUGAAUGACUCCAUCUGCCCCAGUUGUGGAAAACUGGAAAGUACCUCUAACAAAUGCUCACAUGGCCCUUCUCACAUGUCCAGUGUGACGAGCGCAGCAAAAAGGGAAAUGAAUCUCUCCGCAGCUAUCAAAAACCAAGAGGAAGCUCUUGUUGCUUGUAACCGUGGGUGGGAGAUCAGCGGCUCACGAGGGGACAAGUCACAUACACCAAUUCAGACUUUAUGGGGCAGAUCUUCUGCUAGUGCAAACUGAUGAGCACCAUUCACCUCUGCGGAACUAAGCCGAUCUAUACCAGCGGAGAAUCCGACCUUAUAUCUGCCCAUUUAAUACAACAAUUAUAUCAGAGCAGUGACUUGUGCACUUUGUAUUUUACUUCUCCGUGUAACUGAAACCACGGGCUAAAUUUGUCUGUUUCACCUUUUAACAAUUUCAGAUGCACCCUACCUCAUUCCCGUUUUCUUUUCCUCGCGUGUAACAUAACAUGAAAAAGAUACCAGCAGUUACUUACAGUAGGACGAUUUGCUUCAUAGCAGGUUGGUGUAGUAUAGUUUACCUUCACACACGGUUGUUUCUUACUGCUUGUUCCAGUUUUGCAUUAGGCCUGUCUACAUCUGAAAAUUAGAUGGACCUAAUGUCAUCACUCACAUCUGUAAACAUUUUGUGCCCUUUAUGUGACACAGUUAAGUUGAUCUAAGCCCCCACUGUAGAUGCAGCAAGGUCAAUGGAAUAAUUCUACCAUUGACCUAGAUACCACCUCUCAGAGAGAUGGGUUAAUGACACUGAUGGAAACCCCCCUUCUGUCGAUGUAGGACGCAGCUACACAACAGCGCAGUAGCUGAGCCUCUGUAACCACGGUAGUGUAGCCAGACCCUUAGUUUACAUGUCACUAGUAGCACCGACAGCAUGUGACAAGGUUACAUUGUGGGUAGAGCAGAGAACAAUGAGUCAGGACUACUGGGCUCUCUUCUUGGUGCUGCACCUUCCUGAGUGACUUUUGGACAAGUUAUUUCACUGCAUUGUGUCUCCAGUUUCCAUCCCCCUGUACAAGGAGGAUAACAGCCUUCAGUACCUUACAGGGGUCUGCUUGCAAAAAUUACAUUUUGCAGAAGUGCUUUGAGAUUCUCAGAGAAAAGUACCAUGUUAUAAAACCAAGUCAGGAGGGCAAUAACCGAGAGGAAGUGGACGCCUCCUGGGAAUAAUCUCUGCUGUCCACACAGACCUGCACUUAAGGAAUGGUGUCCACUCAAAUUCAGUCCCAAUGCUAAGGCCAAGAAAAAUAUUUCCAUGAUUUUCUGUUGUUUUUAAGGUACAGCAGAAAGUUGUUAGUACACAAUGAGAUCUUUCAUUCCCCUGCAGUGUUCAAGGAGGAGUGAAAUGUUUCUACAAUUUAUUUUUAAUCCCAGUAAAAAUUCACCUACACUUUUUGUAAGCUCAAACAUCAAAGCAGGAACAAUCUGAGAGUGACACUGACUAAAAUCACUAAAAACAAGAGUGAUGCUGGCUGCUCCUUGGACAUGCUGACAGAUAUGCAAACAACCCAUGAAGAACUUAGUACCGUUCUGACUGGACUUCCUCUGCUCCUUCUAAGGCCACGUCUACAAGUAUAGCGCUGUAGCCGCGCAGCUGUACCAAUGCACUGCAGUGCGUCUGGUGAAGGUGUUCUAUGCCGAUGUGAUGCUGUGUAUAAGAAAGGAGACCAUUUCUAUCACUGGUGUUACCAUUCUCCCACAAUUGCCAUGGAUCUUAUACAGCUUGUAUCAUGUAAGGUGUCAGUGGAAAAGCUGCUUCAGAAACAGACUUCAAAGAGAAACUGCGGAGCUACAAUUCAUUUGCAAAUUUAACAGAGUUAAUUUGGGCUUGAAUAGGGACUGGGAGUGGCUGGCUCACGACAAAAGCAAUUUCCCCUCUCUUGGCAUUGACACCUCCUCAUCAAUUAUUGGGAGUGGACCAUGUCCACCCUGACUGAAUUGGCCUUGUCAUCACUGAUUCUCCACUUGUAAGGUAACUCCCUUCUCUUCAUGUGCCAGUAUAUUUAUGCCUGUUCUGUAAAUUUCACUCCAGGCAUCUGAAGAAGUGGGUUUUUUACCUACGAAAGCUUAUGCCCAAAUAAAUCUGUUAGUCCUUAAGGCGACACUGGACGCCUUGGUUUUUUUGUAGAUACAGACUAACACGGCUACCCCUCUGAUAAGUGGAAAAGUUAUGAUUUGCUAAGUAUGAUUAUCUCUUUAUAUGCAUGUAUCACUUUGUAUCUGAAGUUAUGAAUAUUGGCUGUGUACUUGGAUCUUACACAUGUGUUGUGUUGCUGGCCGACCCAACCCCACCCCGAUAGAAUUUACAUCACGGCUAGACAGCUAUGUGUGGAUGGCCCAUCAAGGACACACAGCUGUCACAAUGGGCCAUUGAAGAAACUCAUCCCCUCCAGAUAGUUCUUCCUGAGGAUGCUUCAGACAGCCAGGGGCCAAUGGCCACCCCCCUGAGUCAGCAAACUGUGUAAGGACAUGUGAUGUGCUCAUGUGACUCUGGACUCCAGCUUGGGUCAGUAACUUUCCACAACCAGGGGCUCUGGGCUUUGUUUGGGACAGUAAAAUUCCAAGCACAUGACAGAGGAUAUAAAAGAUCCCUGAGUCAUCUCCAUUUUCUCUUCAUUUCCUGCUUCAUUUCUCUGGACUGGAUUUCUAACAAGGAAGCUCUGAAGAAGUAUUGAUGACCCCCAAUCUGUUUGGGUGAUUCCAGAGAUUCUUUUGCAAACCAGCAGUUUAUUCCAUCUGUGCUACAAACUUAAUAUAAGGACUUUGCAAUCACUUGUAGGUAUAUGGUUCCUUAACCAUUUGUAACUCUAUUCUUUUCUUUUAUUAAUAAAUCUUUCGAUAGUUUACUAAG